RNAcentral lists this transfer RNA (73 nucleotides) under Ailuropoda melanoleuca (giant panda). It matches the Rfam family "tRNA". Rfam says of the family: Transfer RNA (tRNA) molecules are approximately 80 nucleotides in length. Their secondary structure includes four short double-helical elements and three loops (D, anti-codon, and T loops). Lineage: Eukaryota; Metazoa; Chordata; Mammalia; Carnivora; Ursidae. The record is from Rfam by way of RNAcentral.
GCCCGGCUGGCUCAGCUGGAAGAGCAUGGGACUCUUCAUCUUGCGGUCAUGAGUUUGAGUCCCAUGCUGGGCA